AGUGGAUGGGGAGCAACCUAGUUGUGAGUGCGGAAAGGUAGUGCCAAGAAAAGCUGUCAGAAUGAUGAGAAUUGAGUCCCGAUACCCGAAACCGACACAGGUAUGCAAGUAGAGAAUACUAAGGGGCGCGAGGUAACUCUCUCCAAGGAACUCGGCAAAAUGACCCCGUAACUUAGGGAGAAGGGGUGCCACCGAGAGGUGGUCGCAGUGAAGAGGCCCAGGCGACUGUUUAGCAAAAACAUAGGUCUCUGCAAACUCGAAAGAGGAAGUAUAGGGGCUGACGCCUGCCCAGUGCCGGAAGGUUAAAGAAGUUGGUCAGGAGAAAUCUGAAGCUGGCGACUGAAGCCCCGGUGAACGGCGGCCGUAACUAUAACGGUCCUAAGGUAGCGAAAUUCCUUGUCGGGUAAGUUCCGACCCGCACGAAAGGCGUAACGAUCUGGGCGCUGUCUCGGAGAGAGGCUCGGCGAAAUAGGAUUGUCUGUGAAGAUACGGACUACCUGCAUUUGGACAGAAAGACCCUAUGAAGCUUUACUGUAGCUUGAAAUUGUGUUCGGGCUUCCUGUGCGCAGGAUAGGUGGGAGGCUAGGAAGGUCUGCUUGUGGGCAGAUUGGAGCCAACCGUGAGAUACCACUCUCAGGAGGCUAGAAUUCUAACUUAAUUAAGGACAGUUUCAGGUGGGCAGUUUGACUGGGGCGGUCGCCUCCAAAAAGGUAACGGAGGCGUACAAAGGUUCCCUCACACUGGUUGGAAAUCAGUGGCAGAGUGCAAAGGCAGAAGGGAGCUUGACUGCGAGACGUACAAGUCGAGCAGGGUGGAAACACGGUCUUAGUGAUCCGACGGUGCUGUGUGGAAGGGCCGUCGCUCAACGGAUAAAAGUUACUCUAGGAUAACAGGCUGAUCUCCCCCAAGAGUUCACAUCGACGGGGAGGUUUGGCACCUCGAUGUCGGCUCAUCGCAACCUGGGGCGGAAGUACGUCCCAAGGGUUGGGCUGUUCGCCCAUUAAAGCGGUACGUGAGCUGGGUUCAGAACGUCGUGAGACAGUUCGGUCCAUAUCCGAUGUAGGCGUGAGAAUAUUGAGAGGAGCCUUCCUUAGUACGAGAGGACCGGGAAGGACGCACCGCUGGUGUACCUGUUAUGAUGCCAAUCGUAAACGCAGGGUAGCCAAGUGCGGAGAGGAUAACCGCUGAAAGCAUCUAAGUGGGAAGCCCACCUCAAGAUGAGUAUUCUGGUGUAAGGUCACGGGGAGACGACCCGUAGAUAGGCACGAGGUGGAAGUGCAGAGAUGUAUGAAGCCGAAGUGUACUAAUAGACCGUCGGCUUGACC
RNAcentral lists this ribosomal RNA (1325 nucleotides) under metagenome. Its description in RNAcentral is "bacterial LSU rRNA". It matches the Rfam family "Bacterial large subunit ribosomal RNA", at positions 1561 to 2925 of the family's 2925-position model. The record is from RNAcentral.